This 72-nucleotide transfer RNA is filed under the name Chelonia mydas (Green sea turtle). It matches the Rfam family "tRNA". From Rfam's summary of the family: Transfer RNA (tRNA) molecules are approximately 80 nucleotides in length. Their secondary structure includes four short double-helical elements and three loops (D, anti-codon, and T loops). Further hydrogen bonds mediate the characteristic L-shaped molecular structure. tRNAs have two regions of fundamental functional importance: the anti-codon, which is responsible for specific mRNA codon recognition, and the 3' end, to which the tRNAs corresponding amino acid is attached (by aminoacyl-tRNA synthetases). tRNAs cope with the degeneracy of the genetic code in two manners: having more than one tRNA (with a specific anti-codon) for a particular amino acid; and 'wobble' base-pairing, i.e. permitting non-standard base-pairing at the 3rd anti-codon position. The record is from Rfam by way of RNAcentral. Lineage: Eukaryota; Metazoa; Chordata; Testudines; Cheloniidae.
GGCAGUGUGGCCUAGUGGCUAGGGCACUAGAUUAGCACUCAGAAGACCUGGGCUCUAUUCCCAGUUCUGCCG